RNAcentral lists this ribosomal RNA (522 nucleotides) under uncultured Ectothiorhodospiraceae bacterium. Its description in RNAcentral is "bacterial SSU rRNA". It matches the Rfam family "Bacterial small subunit ribosomal RNA", at positions 48 to 563 of the family's 1533-position model. The record is from RNAcentral. Lineage: Bacteria; Pseudomonadati; Pseudomonadota; Gammaproteobacteria; Chromatiales; Ectothiorhodospiraceae.
CUUACCAUGCAGUCGAACGGCAGCGCGGGGAGCUUGCUCCCUGGCGGCGAGUGGCGGACGGGUGAGUAACGCGUAGGAAUCUGCCCAGUAGUGGGGGACAACUCCGGGAAACCGGAGCUAAUACCGCAUAAGCCCUACGGGGGAAAGCGGGGGAUCUUCGGACCUCGCGCUAUUGGAUGAGCCUACGUCGGAUUAGCUUGUUGGUGGGGUAAUGGCUCACCAAGGCGACGAUCCGUAGCUGGUCUGAGAGGACGAUCAGCCACACUGGGACUGAGACACGGCCCAGACUCCUACGGGAGGCAGCAGUGGGGAAUAUUGGACAAUGGGCGAAAGCCUGAUCCAGCAAUGCCGCGUGUGUGAAGAAGGCCUUCGGGUUGUAAAGCACUUUCAGUAGGGAAGAAAAGCAGAGCGCUAAUAUCGCUCAGUGCUGACGUUACCUACAGAAGAAGCACCGGCUAACUCCGUGCCAGCAGCCGCGGUAAUACGGAGGGUGCGAGCGUUAAUCGGAAUUACUGGGCGUAA